ACCAAUUGUUGCCUCGGCGGAUCAGCCCGCUCCCGGUAAAACGGGACGGCCCGCCAGAGGACCCCUAAACUCUGUUUCUAUAUGUAACUUCUGAGUAAAACCAUAAAUAAAUCAAAACUUUCAACAACGGAUCUCUUGGUUCUGGCAUCGAUGAAGAACGCAGCAAAAUGCGAUAAGUAAUGUGAAUUGCAGAAUUCAGUGAAUCAUCGAAUCUUUGAACGCACAUUGCGCCCGCCAGUAUUCUGGCGGGCAUGCCUGUUCGAGCGUCAUUUCAACCCUCAAGCCCCCGGGUUUGGUGUUGGGGAUCGGCGAGCCCUUGCGGCAAGCCGGCCCCGAAAUCUAGUGGCGGUCUCGCUGCAGCUUCCAUUGCGUAGUAGUAAAACCCUCGCAACUGGUACGCGGCGCGGCCAAGCCGUUAAACCCCCAACUUCUGAAUGUUGACCUCGGAUCAGGUAGGAAUACCCGCUGAACUUAAGCAUAUCAAUA
RNAcentral lists this ribosomal RNA (486 nucleotides) under Fusarium proliferatum. Its description in RNAcentral is "eukaryotic LSU rRNA". The stretch from base 116 to 269 matches the Rfam family "5.8S ribosomal RNA". The record is from RNAcentral. Lineage: Eukaryota; Fungi; Ascomycota; Sordariomycetes; Hypocreales; Nectriaceae.